GGGCUGGUGGUCUAGUGGUAUGAUUCUCGCUUUGGGUGCGAGAGGUCCCGGGUUCGAUCCCCGGCUAGCCCC
Molecule: non-coding RNA, 72 nt
Organism: Cercophora newfieldiana
Lineage: Eukaryota; Fungi; Ascomycota; Sordariomycetes; Sordariales; Lasiosphaeriaceae
Source: the annotation of a GenBank genome assembly